GGAAGUAAAAGUCGUAACAAGGUUUCCGUAGGUGAACCUGCGGAAGGAUCAUUAAAGAGUAAGGGUGCUCAGCGCCCGACCUCCAACCCUUUGUUGUUAAAACUACCUUGUUGCUUUGGCGGGACCGCUCGGUUCCGAGCCGCUGGGGAUUCGUCCCAGGCGAGUGCCCGCCAGAGUUAAACCAAACUCUUGUUAUUAAACCGGUCGUCUGAGUUAAAAUUUUGAAUAAAUCAAAACUUUCAACAACGGAUCUCUUGGUUCUCGCAUCGAUGAAGAACGCAGCGAAAUGCGAUAAGUAAUGUGAAUUGCAGAAUUCAGUGAAUCAUCGAAUCUUUGAACGCACAUUGCGCCCCUUGGUAUUCCGAGGGGCAUGCCUGUUCGAGCGUCAUUACACCACUCAAGCUGUGCUUGGUAUUGGGUGCCGUCCUUAGUUGGGCGCGCCUUAAAGACCUCGGCGAGGCCACUCCGGCUUUAGGCGUAGUAGAAUUUAUUCGAACGUCUGUCAAAGGAGAGGAACUCUGCCGAUUGAAACCUUUAUUUUUCUAGGUUGACCUCGGAUCAGGUAGGGAUACCCGCUGAACUUAAGCAUAUCAAUAAACGGAGGA
Molecule: ribosomal RNA, 605 nt
Filed under: Pteris vittata (Chinese brake)
Lineage: Eukaryota; Viridiplantae; Streptophyta; Polypodiopsida; Polypodiales; Pteridaceae
Description: eukaryotic LSU rRNA
Rfam family: 5.8S ribosomal RNA (bases 235-388)
Source: RNAcentral